RNAcentral lists this long non-coding RNA (301 nucleotides) under Homo sapiens (human). RNAcentral's name for it is "HSALNT0298844". Lineage: Eukaryota; Metazoa; Chordata; Mammalia; Primates; Hominidae. The record is from RNAcentral.
CUGCCCGAUCGCCUUGGAAGCCCUGUAGACAAUUACAGAUGCCGAGCUUCGGGUAACUCUCAGAGUGGAGGAUGAGAUAUCUGGAAUUGCACAGCCAACUUACCACCGUGAGGGCAACUGUCCUGAAGACCAAUCCAACCUGUGGAAGUCAGCAGAGCAGAAAGAGUAGAUCUCUGGUCCCCAAAGACGUUGUUGAGUUAUCAGAUUUUCUUCUGCCUCUGCCACCCCUGAGACAGCAAGACCAACCCAUCCUCCUCCUCCUCAGCCUGCUCAAUGUGAAGAAAAUGAGGAUGCAGACCUU